GCCGGGCAGUAGUGGCAUGUGCCUGUAAUCCCAACUACUCAGGAGGCUGAGGCAGGAGACUCGCUUGAGCCUGGGAGGCUGGAGUUGCAGUGAGCUGAGAUUGUGCCACUGCACUCCAGUCUAGGUGACAGAGUGAGACCCUGUCUCAA
This 149-nucleotide non-coding RNA is filed under the name Pan troglodytes (chimpanzee). The record is from Rfam by way of RNAcentral. Lineage: Eukaryota; Metazoa; Chordata; Mammalia; Primates; Hominidae.